CCUACGGGUGGCAGCAGUCGAGAAUCAUUCACAAUGGUGGAAACCCUGAUGGUGCGACGCCGCGUGGGGGAAUGAAGGUCUUCGGAUUGUAAACCCCUGUCAUGUGGGAGCAAAUUAAAAAGAUAGUACCACAAGAGGAAGAGACGGCUAACGCUGUGCCAGCAGCCGCGGUAAAACAGAGGUCUCAAGCGUUGGUCGGAAUCACUGGGCGUAAGGCGUGCGGAGGCUGUUUCGUAAGGCGUGUGUGAAAGGCGCGGGCUCAACCCGCGGACGGCACAUGAUACUGCGAGACUAGAGUAAUGGAGGGGGAACCGGAAUGCUCGGUGUAGCGGUGAAAUGCGUAGAUAGCGAGAGGAACACUCGUGGCGAAGGCGGGUUCCUGGACAUUAACUGACGCUGAGGCACGAAGGCCAGGGGAGCGAAAGGGAUUAGAUACCCUGGUAGUC
This 446-nucleotide ribosomal RNA is filed under the name uncultured bacterium. RNAcentral describes it as "partial 16S ribosomal RNA". It matches the Rfam family "Bacterial small subunit ribosomal RNA", at positions 338 to 795 of the family's 1533-position model. The record is from RNAcentral.